Leptinotarsa decemlineata (Colorado potato beetle) is the source of this 249-nucleotide long non-coding RNA. The record is from RefSeq and is a predicted model, not a curated record. Lineage: Eukaryota; Metazoa; Arthropoda; Insecta; Coleoptera; Chrysomelidae.
CGAAGAUUUGAAUGAAGUUCCAGGAGGAUUCAUUAGCGAUUGUAAUUCGAAUUCUCUACUUAUUUUGAAAAGCUAUUCAGACAUGUCUCUCAAAGAAGCAAGUCCUUUUGAUAAAUUCCAAUUUGAGAGAAAUGGUUUUUUCUCUGUGGAUCCUGAUACAAACAAUGAUAAGCUCGUUUUCAACAGAACAGUUGGUCUCAAGGAGGAUGCUGGAAAAUAGAAAUCAAUAAAAUAUUUAUUUUAAAAUCA